UUGACUUGGACUGAAGCUCCCAAGGGAUCACCUUAGCCAAGCCCAGUCACCCUGAACACACUGUCUCCUUGGAGCUGACACCUGCAGGUCAAGCUACAGUCAAGGCUACUACGAGACAGCCUGAUCCCACUCUCCCUAUGCACAGGGCAGACACAUCAAGCCUGGGCUGCAGUAUGUGACACAGAAGAAAGGAAAGGAUAACAGUGAAGGAAAUACUUGAGAUCUCAAGAGAUUCUUUGUGAUGCUCCUGCUAACUGGAUAAGAAGACACCAAUGCAAAAAAUAUCCACCUAACAUAUACUGGCUUCUUCCUCGAAAGACUGCCUGGCCUCUGGAACCUCAGUUUCUCAGGACUGCAGCUGGAAAGAGAACCCCCAAGACUCAGCUACCCAGGAAAAAUUCUUAGAAUUGGAGCCAGAAAGAUACU
Neopelma chrysocephalum (saffron-crested tyrant-manakin) is the source of this 426-nucleotide long non-coding RNA. RefSeq lists it as uncharacterized. The record is from RefSeq and is a predicted model, not a curated record. NCBI's taxonomy places the organism in Eukaryota, Metazoa, Chordata, Aves, Passeriformes, Pipridae. The transcript is spliced from 3 exons.